This 89-nucleotide transfer RNA is filed under the name Priestia megaterium. Its description in RNAcentral is "tRNA-Leu". It matches the Rfam family "tRNA". From Rfam's summary of the family: Transfer RNA (tRNA) molecules are approximately 80 nucleotides in length. The record is from RNAcentral. Lineage: Bacteria; Bacillati; Bacillota; Bacilli; Caryophanales; Bacillaceae. RNAcentral also lists the same sequence under 58 other names.
GCCGGGGUGGCGGAACUGGCAGACGCACAGGACUUAAAAUCCUGCGGUGAGUGAUCACCGUGCCGGUUCGAUUCCGGCCCUCGGCACCA